UACGUAGGUGGCAAGCGUUGUCCGGAAUUAUUGGGCGUAAAGCGCGCGCAGGUGGUCCUUUAAGUCUGAUGUGAAAGCCCACGGCUCAACCGUGGAGGGUCAUUGGAAACUGGGGGACUUGAGUGCAGAAGAGGAUAGUGGAAUUCCAAGUGUAGCGGUGAAAUGCGUAGAUAUCGAGAGGAACACCUGCGGCGAAGGCGGGUUGCUGGGCUGACACUGACGCUGAUGCGCGAAAGCCAGGGGAGCGAACGGG
RNAcentral lists this ribosomal RNA (253 nucleotides) under uncultured bacterium. RNAcentral describes it as "partial 16S ribosomal RNA". It matches the Rfam family "Bacterial small subunit ribosomal RNA", at positions 524 to 776 of the family's 1533-position model. The record is from RNAcentral.